Molecule: ribosomal RNA, 873 nt
Filed under: Haliclona simulans
Lineage: Eukaryota; Metazoa; Porifera; Demospongiae; Haplosclerida; Chalinidae
Description: partial 16S ribosomal RNA
Rfam family: Bacterial large subunit ribosomal RNA
Source: RNAcentral
GAAGUAAUGGUGUGUGAUGCCUGCCCAGUGGUUGGAUCGGAACUCGAAUGAUGAAAGUUAUUUGAAUAAGGACAACUCAACGGCCGCGGUAUCUCUGACCGUGAUAAUGUAGCAUAAUAACUAGCCAAUUAAUUGUUGGCACGUAUGAAAGGCUUCACGAGUGUCCCGCUGUCUCAAGAUAUAACCCAGUGAAAUUAAAUUUGUAGUGAAGAUGCUACAUACAAGUUGUAAGACGAGGAGACCCUAUUGAACUUUACUGGACGUUUGCAUUAUACCGAAACAGGCCCCCAACCCCUAUCGGAAUUUACUAUUCCUUAGAGGGGGACAGUAUAUUUAUACAUGUGUGGAUAUAUCUGCAGGGAGUGUGGCAUGGGUGCAAGAGUGACAUAAUUGGAAACGCACACCGCCUUUGGCGGGGUGUUAUGCACUUUCACUAAAGUUUAUCGGUUGGAUGAAUUUAUGAAUGCGGACCUACCACUAUGAAACCCGACCAAUUGCAUUCAAGAGGCACACCCGGGGUGGUGCGGUACAAAGUGUGAGUGAGACAGUUUGACUGGGAGGGUCGCCUUCAAUAGAGUAUCGAAGGUGAGCAGAUGGUGUGGAGGAGGUCCACAAAUAGAAACUACCAAUCGAAGAUUGGUUCAAUAUAGCUUGAUGGUUUCUGGGGCACCUCGGAGUUAAUAUAACUGAGCCUGACAGUGAGGAGUACGUACCGAACUGACACCACAGGUGGUGGGUUAUAGUGACCCGUUGGUUCAGAGUGGAUAGGCCAACGAACAACGAAUAAAAGUUACCAUAGGGAUAACAGCGUAAUAUAGUUUGAGAGUUAUUAUCGAUGACGAUGUUUGCGACCUCGGUGUUGAAUUGCGGUAA